UCUUAUGCCCUGCUGUAUAAGUACUUGCCACUUCAAAUAACUUGAAAUCGUUUAAAGUCUGCUGCCAGCAAUCCAAUAUGAACCACCGACUUCAAUUACCUACUAAAUUGCAUUAGAGGCACAUUAGACGCGGCCCAAAUCAAAAGCGACAGCCCCUCGACAGCCACUAGAGGUGCCUGACCUGUGAUGGGCCUUGGGCACUCCCGUCAUAACUCCCAGAUGAAACAUAAGUUAUCGUACGAGUAUAUGAUUAGAGCACAGAGCCACCCAGCCCAGCCAGCCGGGCAGCCCGUCACUGAAGGGGGCAUUGCCCCGAGGAGGAGAGAAGAGAGCUAUCUACGUGCCAAGAUGUUUCGUAAUGCGUUCAUGUUCUGUUCUCCCAUUAAGCAGCACACUUACCCUCUGACCGUGCAACAAACUUUCAACAGGCAAACAUCAAACUCUCGACAUGUGCGCCCAUGAAAUCUGAUAUGCCACAACGGAAGAGAGCGAGAGAGAGAGGAAAGGUCCCGAGCCCUUAGAGCCAACCCCCUGCUCUCGAUCCAACGUGCUGCUAAUAGAAUAAUUCGUUAAUGUAACUACAAGAUACAAAGAUACGCAGAUAGACAAUAAUCCAUUGACAGCCACGAUUAUCAUUGGCUUUUUAUC
Molecule: long non-coding RNA, 648 nt
Organism: Drosophila miranda
Lineage: Eukaryota; Metazoa; Arthropoda; Insecta; Diptera; Drosophilidae
Exons: 3
Source: RefSeq, a predicted model, not a curated record